AGAGUUUGAUCCUGGCUCAGAUUGAACGCUGGCGGCAGGCCUAACACAUGCAAGUCGAACGGUAGCACAGAGAGCUUGCUCUUGGGUGACGAGUGGCGGACGGGUGAGUAAUGUCUGGGAAACUGCCCGAUGGAGGGGGAUAACUACUGGAAACGGUAGCUAAUACCGCAUAACGUCGCAAGACCAAAGUGGGGGACCUUCGGGCCUCACACCAUCGGAUGUGCCCAGAUGGGAUUAGCUAGUAGGUGGGGUAAUGGCUCACCUAGGCGACGAUCCCUAGCUGGUCUGAGAGGAUGACCAGCCACACUGGAACUGAGACACGGUCCAGACUCCUACGGGAGGCAGCAGUGGGGAAUAUUGCACAAUGGGCGCAAGCCUGAUGCAGCCAUGCCGCGUGUAUGAAGAAGGCCUUCGGGUUGUAAAGUACUUUCAGCGAGGAGGAAGGCAUUAAGGUUAAUAACCUUAGUGAUUGACGUUACUCGCAGAAGAAGCACCGGCUAACUCCGUGCCAGCAGCCGCGGUAAUACGGAGGGUGCAAGCGUUAAUCGGAAUUACUGGGCGUAAAGCGCACGCAGGCGGUCUGUCAAGUCGGAUGUGAAAUCCCCGGGCUCAACCUGGGAACUGCAUUCGAAACUGGCAGGCUAGAGUCUUGUAGAGGGGGGUAGAAUUCCAGGUGUAGCGGUGAAAUGCGUAGAGAUCUGGAGGAAUACCGGUGGCGAAGGCGGCUCUCUGGUCUGUAACUGACGCUGAGGCUCGAAAGCGUGGGGAGCGAACAGGAUUAGAUACCCUGGUAGUCCACGCCGUAAACGAUGAGUGCUAAGUGUUGGAGGGUUUCCGCCCUUCAGUGCUGCAGCUAACGCAUUAAGCACUCCGCCUGGGGAGUACGACCGCAAGGUUGAAACUUAAAGGAAUUGACGG
This 918-nucleotide ribosomal RNA is filed under the name uncultured bacterium. Its description in RNAcentral is "bacterial SSU rRNA". It matches the Rfam family "Bacterial small subunit ribosomal RNA", at positions 8 to 916 of the family's 1533-position model. The record is from RNAcentral.